RNAcentral lists this small RNA (690 nucleotides) under Pongo abelii (Sumatran orangutan). Its description in RNAcentral is "retained intron". Lineage: Eukaryota; Metazoa; Chordata; Mammalia; Primates; Hominidae. The record is from RNAcentral.
CUCCGCGGCACCCUCAAACCCCAGCCCAGGCCGCGGCGCACGAGCCAGCCAGCGCGCCUGCAGUCCUCGCCCGGACGCGCCGCGCCCCCUCGGAACCAGGCUCUGCUCCGAGCAGCCUUCUCCCCUCAAGCCAGCCACAGUCCCUGCCAGGCCGGGUGGGCGUCAAGAUGAAGGCGGCCCGCUUCGUGCUGCGCAGCGCUGGCUCGCUCAACGGCGCCGGCCUGGUGCCCCGAGAGGUGGAGCAUUUCUCGCGCUACAGCCCGUCCCCGCUGUCCAUGAAGCAGCUACUGGACUUUGGUUCAGAAAAUGCAUGUGAAAGAACUUCUUUUGCAUUUUUGCGACAAGAAUUGCCUGUGAGGCUCGCCAACAUUCUGAAGGAAAUUGAUAUCCUCCCGACCCAAUUAGUAAAUACUUCUUCAGUGCAAUUGGUUAAAAGCUGGUAAGUGGUGAACCAUAUUGAAGUCUCUAGUUUUGAAACAGUUACCCGGGUAUGAAUUCUUAUACUAUGUUAACAUCAUAAUUGGAAAACAGGUGAUCUGAACGGUAACUAUUUUGAAAGAUGUAAGAAUUUUAAAAUUAAUUUAGGGUAAGUUAUCAUUACAGAAGUUAUAAAACUAUAAACAGACAUUUUUACCCUGAAAAAGUGGAUUACUUUAUAAUAAAAUUUUGAGUUCUAGGAAAAAUUUGAAA